CAAAGAGGACAAAAUAAGAAAAACCCAGAGAAUAUAUUCUCCCGCUGUUUGAUGUGUACGGUCGCGCAAUCAACCACCCAUUCCUGAAGGUCGCAUCAGGGAGCCACUACUUAAGAUCUCCAGAUUCCCUUCUCUGGUGUGCUGAGCCUGACGCUGAGUUUGAGAGAGAGUGUUACCUGUAAAUAUUGAAUGUGUGGAUUCCCUACCUCCCUGGACCCACCUG
This is a long non-coding RNA of Oreochromis aureus, 223 nucleotides long. RefSeq lists it as uncharacterized. The record is from RefSeq and is a predicted model, not a curated record. Lineage: Eukaryota; Metazoa; Chordata; Actinopteri; Cichliformes; Cichlidae. The transcript is spliced from 3 exons.